GUCUACAGCCAUACCACUCUGAACACGCCUGAUCUCGUCUGAUCUUGGAAGCUAAGCAGGGUUGGACCUGGUUAGUACUUGGAUGGGACACAAACCUAAUUCUUUCCAUGAUUCUGGUCACAAACC
RNAcentral lists this ribosomal RNA (126 nucleotides) under Octodon degus (degu). The record is from RNAcentral. Lineage: Eukaryota; Metazoa; Chordata; Mammalia; Rodentia; Octodontidae.